UGACGACGGCGGGGGCCCUGGGCAGAGUUCUCUUUUCUUCUUAACGAUCUAUCACCCUGAAAUCGGUUUGUCCGGAGCUAGGGUUUAACGGUCGGAAGAGCCUAACACCUCUGUUAGGUCUGGUGCGCCCUCGACGUCCCUUGAAAAUCCACGGGAAGGAAUAAUUCUCUAGCGAGGCCGCACUCAAA
Molecule: ribosomal RNA, 188 nt
Filed under: Ctenophora environmental sample
Lineage: Eukaryota; Metazoa; Ctenophora
Description: partial Eukaryotic large subunit ribosomal RNA
Rfam family: Eukaryotic large subunit ribosomal RNA
Source: RNAcentral